This is a long non-coding RNA of Gasterosteus aculeatus aculeatus (three-spined stickleback), 1436 nucleotides long. Lineage: Eukaryota; Metazoa; Chordata; Actinopteri; Perciformes; Gasterosteidae. The record is from Ensembl.
CAGACAGGUUCACUCUCUAACAACCGGUGCAGAAGUGCCCAUGAGCCAGGCGCACAGCCCUGACAAAGUGUAGGGAGGCGUUGAGUCCAUGGUGAUUCUGUCUUUUCUUUCCCCUUUCAUCUUCGUCAUUAGCAAAACUGCACACGAAGUAGAGAAAUUACAUUUUCACAUUCCACUCUCUCAUCAUUUUUUUUCGCCCCCACUUUGUUUCUCUCACCCUUCGUUGCUCUCCGUCUUUCAUGUAUGGAUCAGAGAAGCUUGCCACCUAUCACAAGGGUCUGGAGAGGCUUUCCAAUGAAAGCCGGUGUUACAGGCCUGAUUUAACAGGGCGCUCACACAAAGACCCCACUGUCUCUCCGUCCCUCUGACUUUCUGCAUCGCCCACCUGUCGGAUAUCCCUCUGCCUUCCUUUCCUCAAACACGCUUUCUCUGUAAUGUCACUCGCUCACGGACUCUCGCUCUCUUUUUGCACACACACAUCGGGCCGCCUCAGCCCUUGUUCUCUCACAAUGGGAUUAGCGGUGUGAUUCCUCCACUCCUUUUAAGUGGGCACGCCACCAAUCCACUUGCCAUAGACUCCGCUGAAUACUUAAAAAGAGGGAAGAGGAGGGGAGGGAGAAAGAAGGGGACAAGGGAAAAGGAGGGAAGAUGAAAGGGCAUGUGAACGGGAGGAAAAGGGAGUGAGGAGAGAUGAAAAGGGGACCCGGAUGGGAGGAGGAGGAGGACACGAUCCUAUUUGUGUGUGAAGUUACUCGACACUUUUUAGAUGAUCAAACGUGACUCCGUCUGGAACAGACCAGAUGGAGAGAUGGAAGGAAGACAGCAAGACAGAGCAAAGAAAGAGAAGGAAGCGCAGGACAUAGAAGGGGGAUCGGCUGGGGACUAAUAGCCAGAGAUUCAUUGUGACAUCAACUCCAAUAUUUCCGGAGAAGUCUGCAGCAGGUGAAAGUGCUUAUUUGUGCUUCUAGGAUUAUUAUGUGUCUGGCAUCAGUCGGAUAAAGGGACCUUCUGUGCCUGGUCCCGUCUGUUUGUUAUCAUGUCAGCCAUGCCACUGAUAAUUCUCUUAUGUAACACGAGUUCUGUACUGCAACAUCACAAACUGACAACACCGGCACUCAUCUCUCAAACUCUUGCUCAACUUUUGUUUGAGGGUUAGCCAACAAUCCCCAUGACACCACAGCAAGCUGUCCUCAAAAACUGUUGCUCCAAGUAGUCACUUGGGCUCGAAAAACAUCUCUUGGAACAUUGCUUGAACUUUUGACUGUGACUCUGACAUAAACAAGUGGCAGCAAUACCACUUAGAGGUGCGUCCUGAGGGGUCAGUCACUUUUCUAACAACUAUAACAAGCGUCGUACACGUUAAAACCUCUUCUCUUCUAUGAUGAGCGGCUUGGGUGGAAACCACGUUCCCUUCAAUAAGCUGACCUCCGCAACCG